This 404-nucleotide ribosomal RNA is filed under the name uncultured bacterium. RNAcentral describes it as "bacterial SSU rRNA". It matches the Rfam family "Bacterial small subunit ribosomal RNA", at positions 355 to 774 of the family's 1533-position model. The record is from RNAcentral.
UGGGGAAUAUUGCGCAAUGGGCGAAAGCCUGACGCAGCCAGCCCGCGUGUGUGAUGAAGGCCUUCGGGUCGUAAAGCACUGUCGUAGGGGAAGAAUCAAUGACGGUACCCUACAAGAAAGCACCGGCUAACCCCGUGCCAGCAGCCGCGGUAAUACGGGGGGUGCAAGCGUUGCUCGGAAUCACUGGGCGUAAAGCGUCCGCAGGUGGGUGUGUGUGUCGGAUGUGAAAGCCCAGGGCUCAACCCUGGAACUGCAUUCGAAACUGCACAUCUUGAGUACGGGAGAGGGAAGCAGAAUUCCUGGUGUAGAGGUGAAAUUCGUAGAUAUCAGGAGGAAUACCUGUGGCGAAAGCGGCUUCCUGGUCCGAUACUGACACUCAUGGACGAGAGCGCGGGGAGCAAACA